This 443-nucleotide ribosomal RNA is filed under the name uncultured bacterium. RNAcentral's name for it is "bacterial SSU rRNA". It matches the Rfam family "Bacterial small subunit ribosomal RNA", at positions 336 to 795 of the family's 1533-position model. The record is from RNAcentral.
UUCCUACGGGUGGCAGCAGUAGGGAAUAUUGGACAAUGGGCGAAAGCCUGAUCCAGCAACGCCGCGUGCACGAUGAAGGUCUUCGGAUUGUAAAGUGCUUUUAAGGGAGAUGAGAAAGGACAGUAUCCCUUGAAUAAGCCUCGGCGAACUACGUGCCAGCAGCCGCGGUAAAACGUAGGAGGCAAGCGUUAUCCGGAUUUAUUGGGCGUAAAGUGCGUGCAGGCUGUUUGGAAAGUUGGAUGUGAAAGCUCCUGGAUUAACUGGGAGAGGUCGUUCAAAACUACCAAACUAGAGAAUGGGAGAGGGAAGUGGAAUUCCGGGUGUAGUGGUGAAAUGCGUAGAUAUCCGGAGGAACACCAGUGGCGAAAGCGGCUUCCUGGACCAUUUCUGACGCUUAGACGCGAAAGCUAGGGGAGCGAACGGGGUUAGAUACCCGGGUAGUC